AAGGACUAUUCCUAAGUGACUGAAAUGGGCAGGGUGGCCUGCUUGAGUUGGCAUCAGCAACCUGCCUCUCUCACCAGCGGCUUGCCUCUCCCACCAGUAUGUAGGUGGCAAGUAUGACUCUUUAUUCGGAAAUCACCUGAAGAGUCGUGAAAAUCUUCUCUGUCUUAGCUAAGUCGUACUCGACCUCUUUAAAGGAGGAUGCCCCUGCAAAAGUAAAUGUGUUUAGUCUUUUGUAUCUCUCAUGUAGUCUGGGUCCGUAAUGGAAGGAAUUGGACCCCAUGGAAGAUGGACUGGAUUGUGCUGGGGAUGG
RNAcentral lists this long non-coding RNA (310 nucleotides) under Carica papaya (papaya). Its description in RNAcentral is "long non-coding RNA (CPAP_LNC004260)". The record is from RNAcentral. Lineage: Eukaryota; Viridiplantae; Streptophyta; Magnoliopsida; Brassicales; Caricaceae.